Molecule: long non-coding RNA, 1264 nt
Organism: Sinocyclocheilus rhinocerous
Lineage: Eukaryota; Metazoa; Chordata; Actinopteri; Cypriniformes; Cyprinidae
Exons: 3
Source: RefSeq, a predicted model, not a curated record
AUGCUGAAGGAUCUGAUUCGUGCUCUCUGGCAAGUUCUGGUUACGGUUCAUCUGAAGCAGACGUCAGGUCAAUUUUUGGGUCUUCACAUUCCAAAGAUACAUCUCUCAUAAGCAGAUUCAAGUCAGGGGUCCUGAAAAUAUUUAACAGCAAGGAAUUCACACCACCACUGAUGAGUGGAGAUGAGAAGUCGAACACAUCGUCUCUGGGAAGUUCAGAAGCACACAUCAGGUCUUCACAUUCCAGAGAUUCAUCUCACACAAGAAGAUAUGAGUCCAGUGUCCUAAAAAUACAUAGCAUGGGGUUCACACCACCACUGACGAGUGGAGAUGAGCGGUCGGACUCAUGGUCUGUGGGAAGUUCUGCUUACGGUUCAUUCAGCUCACUAUCAGGAGAAGACGGCAGUUCAGUUUUUAGCUCAUCACACUCAAAAGUCUCAUCUCACAGCUCAGGAUUGGGGUCUUUGCAGCCCAUUUCUCACUCUGUUGAACAUUCAAGAACCAAAAGAACACAGGAUGUGCCCAAGGUCUCAAAAUAUGAGCAUAAAGACACUGAUUUAGACACUGACGUGAAGUGAUGGCUGAAUAAUCAUGUUUAACUGUAACAUAUACAAAACAGCUUAAAGUAAUAAUCAAAUGAUUCUAUAAAUAAGUGUUCUUUAUUUUAAAAACAGAACAAUAGGUCAUUUUUGGUGUUAUAAUAUCAUAAUACAUUUUCUACAGAUUGAUCUACAAUAUCACAAUUUCUCUGUAGUUUAUCUACAUAAUCAGUGUUUCCCUGUACUUGUCACAUUUUUCCAAAUUAAGGCUUUAAAUAAAUUGUCAUGCAGUUUAUCAGGACUGCAGGAUCAACCUGUAAUCCCUGCCAAAAAUAUUAACUAUUUAUCCUCGUCUAGAACAGAUUUUAUUAUCGUCCCUAGGUUUAAUGGAUUAAUGAUCAAACUCCAAUUAUUUGUUUCAAUUACAGCAGCCAGUUUUGUUGUAUUUUCGGACAGACCUGCAAAAUAGGGAAAUAGCCAUUAAAGUGCCUGUCUGCAGUGCUCGUAUACUUAUAACCUUUUGUUGUGUUUGAUUUUGUAUGUUACAAUCAUUUUUUUCCUUUUUUUUUUUGGUUAAAAAAAAUUAUAAUCCUUAACUUGCAGGUAUCUGUAGAAGUCAGUAACAUAAGAUGUGCUGUCUAUAUAUUAUAUCAGAAUACUUAUUUUAAAAUAUGUGCAUGCAUUAUAUUUUUACCAAAAAUUCAUAAAGGACAUGUCACUUUUUAACU